This 484-nucleotide ribosomal RNA is filed under the name uncultured bacterium. RNAcentral's name for it is "partial 16S ribosomal RNA". It matches the Rfam family "Bacterial small subunit ribosomal RNA", at positions 30 to 507 of the family's 1533-position model. The record is from RNAcentral.
AUUGAACGCUGGCGGCAGGCCUAACACAUGCAAGUCGAGCGGAUGAAGUGAUCUUUCUCCUGGAUUCAGCGUCGGACGGUUGUGUAAUUCCUAUGAAUCUGCCUGGUUGUGUUGUAUUACUUCCUUUAACGGGCGCUAAUACCGCCUACUUCCUGAGUGCGAAAGUGGGUGUUCUUCGUACCUCACGCUAUCUUAUGUGCCUAGUUCGGAUUAGCUAGUUGGUUGGGUAAAGGCCUACCAAGGCGACGAUCCGUAACUGGUCUGAGAGGAUGAUCAGUCAAACUGGAACGGAGACACGGACAAGAAGACUACGGGAGGCAGAAGUGGGGAAGAUUGGACAAGGGGCGAAAGCAUGAUACAGAAAAGCCGAGUGUGUGAAGAAGGUCUUCGGAUUGUAAAGAAAUUUAAGUUGGGAGGAAGGGAAGUAAGUUAAUAAAUAGAUGUAUUGACGUUACAAACAGAAAAAGCAACGGCUAACUACGUG